UACAGAGGGUGCGAGCGUUAAUCGAAGUUACUGGGCGUAAAGGGCGCGUAGGCGGUUAUAAGAGUGGAAUGUGAAAGCCCCGGGCUUAACCUGGGAAGGGCAUACCAAACGAUAUAACUGGAGUAUGGGAGAGGGUGGCGGAAUUUCCGGUGUAGCGGUGAAAUGCGUAGAGAUCGGAAGGAACGUCGAUGGCGAAGGCAGCCACCUGGCCCAAUACUGACGCUGAGGCGCGAAAGCGUGGGGAGCGAACAGG
This 253-nucleotide ribosomal RNA is filed under the name uncultured Aquicella sp. RNAcentral describes it as "partial 16S ribosomal RNA". It matches the Rfam family "Bacterial small subunit ribosomal RNA", at positions 524 to 776 of the family's 1533-position model. The record is from RNAcentral. Lineage: Bacteria; Pseudomonadati; Pseudomonadota; Gammaproteobacteria; Legionellales; Coxiellaceae.